This 408-nucleotide ribosomal RNA is filed under the name uncultured bacterium. RNAcentral's name for it is "partial 16S ribosomal RNA". It matches the Rfam family "Bacterial small subunit ribosomal RNA", at positions 28 to 526 of the family's 1533-position model. The record is from RNAcentral.
GACGAACGCUGGCGGCGUGCUUAACACAUGCAAGUCGAACGAAGUGGCGAACGGGUGAGUAACGCGUAAUCAAGCUGCCCUUCAAACGGGGACAACAGUUGGAAACGACUGCUAAUAUCGCAUACUGAAGGUGGGGAUUGCGUCUGAUUAGCUAGUUGGAGGGGUACGGGCCAACCAAGGCGAUGAUCAGUAGCCGGUCUGAGAGGAUGAACGGCCAACUUGUGAAUGAGACACGGCCCAGACGUCUACGGGAGGCAGCCGUGGGGAAUCUUCCGCAAUGGACGAAAGUCUGACGGAGCAACGCCGCGUGAGUGAUGACGGCCUUCGGGUUGUAAAGCUCUGUUAAUCGGGACGCGGUACCGGAAUAGAAAGCCACGGCUAACUACGUGCCAGCAGCCGCGGUAAUUC